RNAcentral lists this transfer RNA (74 nucleotides) under Candidatus Methanoperedens sp. RNAcentral describes it as "tRNA-Lys". It matches the Rfam family "tRNA". Rfam says of the family: Transfer RNA (tRNA) molecules are approximately 80 nucleotides in length. Their secondary structure includes four short double-helical elements and three loops (D, anti-codon, and T loops). Lineage: Archaea; Methanobacteriati; Methanobacteriota; Methanomicrobia; Methanosarcinales; Candidatus Methanoperedentaceae. The record is from RNAcentral.
GGGCUCGUAGCUCAGCCAGGCAGAGCACCGGGCUUUUAACCCGAUGGUCGAGGGUUCAAAUCCCUCCGAGCCCG